Molecule: unclassified non-coding RNA, 424 nt
Filed under: soil metagenome
Description: partial contains 5.8S ribosomal RNA, internal transcribed spacer 2, and large subunit ribosomal RNA
Rfam family: 5.8S ribosomal RNA (bases 1-120)
Source: RNAcentral
GAUGAAGAACGCAGCGAAAUGCGAUAAGUAGUGUGAAUUGCAGAAUUCCGUGAAUCAUCGAAUCUUUGAACGCACAUUGCGCCUUCUGGUAUUCCGGAAGGCAUGCCUGUUCGAGAGUCAUUAACAACCGUUUCGAUCCCUUUCUUUCAGAAAUUACAAAGAGGAAAAGGGUUUGGUUUUGGUGGAGGAGGGAAAGGGAGCGUUUAGCCUGUAAAAAAAGAGGCUGUGUUCCGCCUCCCCCCCAAAAUUGUACAGGCGGUCGUGUGCGCCCACGCAUCGAGGUGUUGUAAAAGCUGCCACGGCACUUUUCACCUGUGCAGUGCGAGAUUGGCCAGCCGGUUUAAAAACCCCUCCAAACAAUCAAAGGUUGACCUCGGAUCAGGUAGGGAUACCCGCUGAACUUAAGCAUAUCAAUAAGCGGAGG